UAAAGGUGGGCAAGUGAAGAAGGGAUCCAGGGUGUUUGCACCAUUUUCAAGUCCCUCCCUCCACCUAUAAGGAUAUUGAUUUUUUUUUUUUUUUUUUUUUUUUUUUUUUUUUUUUUUAAGAGUUCAAGAAGAUGAACGUAUUAUUGAUUAACUAAAAUGUAAAUUAGUAAUUGAUUAUUGUGAGGGAAUGACAUGAGGGAGAGAAAUUAACUGCAAUGACUGGAAGUAGUGGCUGGUGCCCU
RNAcentral lists this unclassified non-coding RNA (242 nucleotides) under Hevea brasiliensis (rubber tree). The record is from RNAcentral. Lineage: Eukaryota; Viridiplantae; Streptophyta; Magnoliopsida; Malpighiales; Euphorbiaceae.